This 532-nucleotide ribosomal RNA is filed under the name Botryosphaeria dothidea. RNAcentral describes it as "SSU rRNA". It matches the Rfam family "Eukaryotic small subunit ribosomal RNA", at positions 580 to 1116 of the family's 1831-position model. The record is from RNAcentral. Lineage: Eukaryota; Fungi; Ascomycota; Dothideomycetes; Botryosphaeriales; Botryosphaeriaceae.
UAAUUCCAGCUCCAAUAGCGUAUAUUAAAGUUGUUGCAGUUAAAAAGCUCGUAGUUGAACCUUGGGCCUGGCUGGCCGGUCCGCCUCACCGCGUGUACUGGUCCGGCCGGGCCUUUCCUUCUGGGGAUCCUCAUGCCCUUCACUGGGUGUGCUGGGGAACCAGGACUUUUACUUUGAAAAAAUUAGAGUGUUCAAAGCAGGCCUUUGCUCGAAUACAUUAGCAUGGAAUAAUAGAAUUGGACGUGCGGUCCUAUUUUGUUGGUUUCUAAGACCGCCGUAAUGAUUAAUAGGGAUAGUCGGGGGCAUCAGUAUUCAAUUGUCAGAGGUGAAAUUCUUGGAUUUAUUGAAGACUAACUACUGCGAAAGCAUUUGCCAAGGAUGUUUUCAUUAAUCAGUGAACGAAAGUUAGGGGAUCGAAGACGAUCAGAUACCGUCGUAGUCUUAACCGUAAACUAUGCCGACUAGGGAUCGGGCGAUGUUAUUCUUUUGACUCGCUCGGCACCUUACGAGAAAUCAAAGUCUUUGGGUUCUG